UACGGAGGGGGCCAGCGUUGUCCGGAUUUAUUGGGCGUAAAGAGCUCGUAGGCGGUUGGGUAAGUCGGGUGUGAAAACUCAGGGCUCAACUCUGAGACGCCACUCGAUACUGCCCUGACUCGAGUCCGGUAGGGGAGCGUGGAAUUCCCGGUGUAGCGGUGAAAUGCGCAGAUAUCGGGAGGAACACCAGUGGCGAAGGCGGCGCUCUGGGCCGGAACUGACGCUGAGGAGCGAAAGCGUGGGUAGCAAACAGG
This 254-nucleotide ribosomal RNA is filed under the name uncultured bacterium. RNAcentral describes it as "partial 16S ribosomal RNA". It matches the Rfam family "Bacterial small subunit ribosomal RNA", at positions 524 to 776 of the family's 1533-position model. The record is from RNAcentral.